GUGAGUAUAAAUGCCCACAAGAUCCUUUGCACAGAUUCUAACAGAAGCUCUGCACAGAUCUCUUGAAGAAGUGAAACCCUGGUCUGUGAGUGUGCUGAGCUAAAUGCGAACCCGUAAUAACCGACAGCGCUAACAUGCUAAGAAGGUACACUGUUUACCAAAGCUAUCAUGGCAGUCUUUGACAUGACAACAUUAGCAUUAGAUAUUUGCUCAAAAACAUAAAUGAAAUGCUCAAAGAGUGCUGGAGGAAACGUCAGAGAUAGAAAAAGAUUUUUCGGUGUCGGCAAAAGCAGUUGGCAGAUGGGAAAUUACAAGUCCAAAUUAGAUUUAAUACGAAGUAUUAAAAGACAAAUACAUGCAUGGAGAAAAGCAGGAGAGUCAGAAGAAGAUUCAUUUGAGUAAUAUCAGUAGAUAAUAAAGUACGUUUUCAUUCUGGCAACAUUCACUCUGGCAUUGUUAAAGCAGUUCCCUGAAAACAAUUUUAUCAUAGGAUGGAGGCAGCUCAUCUAAUUCAGCUAGUUUAAGCCAUUUUUUAAAAGCUCUGGCAGAAUAGUAAAAAGGCUCAGAAGCAUUUGAGAAAAUUACCCACGAAGCAUUAUGCUGACGUGAUUUAUUACAACUCUAAAGCUAAGGUCUCUGCCAGAGCUACAUCAGUUCUGCUUUGUCAUCAAAUGGUCUCGUGCUUCAUUUCACUUACGCAACAUACACUUAGUAUUUAAUACAUAAAAAUGAUCUGAUAAGAUUUAAAACAAACUCCUUUUCAUGAUUUGUCACUGGACACAUUUAAGUCCCCUCUAAAUACUUACAGUGAGCUCCAGUGAGUUCAAAUUAAUUUAUGAACGCAUGAAACCUUCACCCUCUAUCUCCGUUUGUCCCUUAAUCACAAACACAUCAAUACGUGUAUUACCAUCUGUCACCUUCAUCCUCACUGAGGGAUUUGAAACUGCUGAGUGUGGUCUAAUCCCAAGCCCUCGUCUUAGUGAGGUAGCUACCGCACAACCAACUUGGCAUUUACAGGCUCUGCACCUAACACUCUUGUGGUCAGCGGCCUAACAAAUGCUCAAGGAGUGUUAGGAUGAUCUAAAUGCAGAGACAAAAAUUUCCCAAUUUCUGUGCAAUCAAAAGAAUAAUCUUCCCUAAGACAGCCUAAGGAAACAUAUUCGCAGCGCUGUAAGAUGGCUGACGCUGACGAAGCAGAGGGCAGCCAAGACCUGGAGGCUCCAGAGGAAGAAACUGAGGACGAACAACAAGUCUUGAUACGUUUCAGCAAACACAGCGAAGCUCGCCGUGCGCUGCCGUGGGAACAGUGGACCUCCAGCGAAAAGAGAAACUACUAUAUGGACCGCAUGUUCCUCGGGUUCCUUGUCAUUUUUGCCCUCAUGUUACUGGGAGAGUGUGCCUAUAAAGUGUGGUAUGUGACAAACGUGAAGCAGAUUGCAGAGUUUGUGUCAGAUUCAGUUGUCCUUCUGUUUACCUGGCUCUUCACACAGGAGAGACAGGAGGAGCUGGCUGAAUUGUAGGUGGCUCAAAGAGAGUGCUUCAACGUUUCAGGCACAUGUGGUAUAAAACAAAUCCUCAGCAAAGAAUCCAUUUGUUACUAAACUACAGACAAUGUGAUGAUAAUUGCAUUAUUUCUGAUUUCUUAUUUUGAAUCAAUGGAAAUAAAUUUUGUCUUGUUGCCCUGUCCCACAGUA
Molecule: long non-coding RNA, 1694 nt
Organism: Mugil cephalus (flathead mullet)
Lineage: Eukaryota; Metazoa; Chordata; Actinopteri; Mugiliformes; Mugilidae
Exons: 2
Source: RefSeq, a predicted model, not a curated record